This 468-nucleotide ribosomal RNA is filed under the name uncultured bacterium. RNAcentral describes it as "partial 16S ribosomal RNA". It matches the Rfam family "Bacterial small subunit ribosomal RNA", at positions 28 to 507 of the family's 1533-position model. The record is from RNAcentral.
GACGAACGCUGGCGGCGUGCUUAACACAUGCAAGUCGAACGGAAAGGCCCUGCUUUUGUGGGGUGCUCGAGUGGCGAACGGGUGAGUAACACGUGAGUAACCUGCCCUUGACUUUGGGAUAACUUCAGGAAACUGGGGCUAAUACCGGUUAGGAGCUCCUGCUGAAUGGGGGGGGUUGGAAGGUUUCGGCGGUGGGGGAUGGACUCGCGGCUUAUCAGCUUGUUGGUGGGGUAGUGGCUUACCAAGGCUUUGACGGGUAGCCGGCCUGAGAGGGUGACCGGCCACAUUGGGACUGAGAUACGGCCCAGACUCCUACGGGAGGCAGCAGUGGGGAAUAUUGCACAAUGGGCGGAAGCCUGAUGCAGCAACGCCGCGUGCGGGAUGACGGCCUUCGGGUUGUAAACCGCUUUCGCCUGUGACGAAGCGUGAGUGACGGUAAUGGGUAAAGAAGCACCGGCUAACUACGUG